AGAACGUGUAUUGGUACUUGCUGCUACUAAUAGGCCUUUUGACCUUGAUGAGGCUGUUAUUAGGAGGCUUCCGAGGAGGUAAAAUUGCAUGUUUGCCUGUUGUGCUGCUACUGCAUCUGUUAUAUGUCAACGCAAGUAUAUUGACUUCCUGCGUACAAAAUUGAUUCCAUGUGCAGAUUGAUGGUGAACUUGCCAGAUGGCCAGAACAGAGAAAAAAUACUGAGAGUUGUAUUGGCCAAAGAAGAUUUGGAAACUGACGUUGAUUUGGAGGCAGUUGCAAAUAUGACAGAUGGGUAUUCCGGAAGUGACUUAAAGGUUGCCUACUAAUUUUUACGAAACCCAUCUAAGCUUUUUACAUACGUAGUUUUAUUUUUGUCGGUUAUAUUCUAUGUAGUUCUAUUUUCUCUUAUGUAAUGGAUUGUCCCAAUUUUUGUUGUGGUUGCAGAAUCUGUGUGUUGCUGCAGCUCACCUCCCCAUUAGGGAAAUUUUGGAGAAGGAGAAAAAGGUUGGUUUUCUGUACAGUGUAACAAAAAUACAAAGCCCUUGUUGAUUUUUUAACUUGAAGUGGUGUGGUUGGUUACUGCAACUAAGUAGUUCUUUCUUCACGUAUCGCAGGAGAGAAGUUUAGCUUUGGCGGAGAACAGACCUGUACCGGAGUUGUACUGCAGCACCGACAUUCGUCCUUUGAAGAUGGAGGACUUCAAACAUGCGCAUGAGCAGGUACGUUGUGACCUAAUAAUACAAUACGGGGUUUUGGCUUCUUGUAGUAUUCUACCGUGGUCGGAAGUGUUCAGUUGUGUUCCGGAUCAUUGGCUGUCUAAGAUUGAAUUCACUGCAGGUGUGUGCAAGUGUGUCAUCGGAGUCGACAAAUAUGAGUGAGCUUCUCCAAUGGAAUGACCUAUACGGCGAAGGCGGAUCAAGAAAGAAGACCUCUCUCAGCUAUUUUAUGUAGAAUAGGUAUUUUUUUCGGUGUAUAGAAGUUGGUUUUGUUUAUUCUUCUUCAUCGAGCUUAUAAGGCGUGGGAAGAUAUCCAUGGAAAUCCCGUCCAAGUUCACGCCCCCAUUUGUACGAUAUAUAUAGGGUAUUUUUUUUCUCCUUUUUCGCAUUUAUUCGAUUUAUAUUUAACACCUCUGUUAGCAAUGUCGUUCCCAGUUCAUAUGCAGUUAUCUAACUUAGCCUUUUCUCUUUGUUAUGGGUCCUUUUUAGCCUGUAAAUGCUAAUCGAUAAAUGAAAGACGUUUUACAAUUUUCUAAUGUUUGCUUAUUUGAGUCGAUCGGUGUAUGAAAGUGUGAUAUUUUGGAGUGUUUGUAAAGGUAUGAUAGAAAGGAUGCAAAGUCGUGUUACAUUAGAAGUAUGCCUGACAAUUUCUAGACUUGUUAACCCGACACCAAACGACACAAUAAUAACAAGUUUAGAGUUGAUCUGUUAACAAGUCACAUUGUUGUGGAUCAUUCGUUAAGAACCCGAUAUCAUUUUUUAAAAUAAACUAAUGAAUUUAGAAAAUUUUCAACCAGUUUAUCAACCAUCUCAGCAAACAUCAUGACUAUAAGGCACAUUAGAUGAAUGAGUACAUUUUAAAGAUACAAGUAAAACAAUAGUAUGAAAAACUAUGAGGCAUGAUUUGCACCAAUUUACCAUUGAAGGCCAAUUUAUCGACAUGCUCUGAAAACGUUGUAGACUGAUGUAGAGCGUUGUGUCCAUAGUCUGUAGGUUAUCUAUAGAGUAGAAAUUCUUCUAUACAUAUUGGCAUGGGCAAAGUUACAUAGGAGCGAGGAGGGGCGGACACUCCUCCCCUCGUCGGAAAUCAAGGCUAGGAGCGAUGGUUCCGCCCCUCUGGUCCUGUUGGAAAUAAUGGAGUCCCGGCUGCUUCUCUGGAUUCUUUGCUGCUGCACGCAGCAGCAGCUUAGAGUUGUAAGUUUUUUUUUCUUCUGAAAAGUCUUAAGACGGAACGAUGCCGUUUCGGUCGAUUGAGUUAAAAAUAAAAAGAAAUGAUUGUAGUGGGGACCAGUAGUCCUCCCGUUUCCUCUUCACAAUCACACCCCGUCCUUUUUAAGAGAACAACAAAGUAUGCCCCAAAAAACUCACAAUUCACAAAUAUACCCUCUAGUUCUGACUUGUUAAAUUAUAUAUUGGCAAUGUAUUUAAUUUUGUAUAUAUGAAUAUAAAUUUUAGUCCACAAUCACCUAAUGUAGAUUAAUAGUUAGCACAUAAUUCAGUCUCUUACUUAUAUGUUAGCAUUAGAUAAUUGGUAGUGAUCAUUUUGAUCGUUUUUGAAGUAGUGUUCAUUUUGAUAUUUUCAAAUGAGUAAAAAAAUGAAGGACGUAUAGGUUUGGAGUUUACCUUAAAAAUAUAGGUCAACUAUAAUUUACACUCUUCACGUUUGAAAUGAUUUUUAAAAUGGACCACGAAGUUUUAAAAUUCUCAUAAUACAUCUGAUAAUACAUCAUAAGAUAUAUUAUAAGUGUAUUAAUUUUUAUCUUCGGCCUAAUUGUACUAUUUAUUAAAUUGAUGACAUUGUGAGCUUGAUACCCUUAUAUGAGCUCACUUGUAAACUAUAUUUGCACCAGAUUGACUAAAAAAAAAUUGAUUUUGACGAAGAUUUAACUGAAACCGAAGGAUGAUGGGCGUUGAAAAUGUGUUUUUUUGGACGACUAGUCAGAAGAAAAAACAAAGCAUUUCGAAUGGAAGAAUUUGCAAUGACCAAAGACAAACUUUUUUCCUCAAAAAGUUUUUCCGACGGCUUAAUACCUUUUCCUACAACAUUUUACCCUUGCUAAUAACAUUUCAUUAUGAAAUGAAUGAGCACAUUAUGGAAUGUUUUCAUGACACGAAACCUCGCUGGCAAUAAUUUUUACCCAUUCAAAUUUUGCCCCCCUUGUCAAUACUUCCUAGCUUCACCACUAUAUUGGUAUGGGUGGUUUGGGUCGGAUAAUCACAAAUUUAUUCAAUGUAACAAUCCCUAACGUCCCAAAUAGUUGAGUGAUAUCUCUUUAAAUAUUUGCCAUUGAUGGGGUGUUUUUGGAGAUUCCCUUCUAGGUCUGUUAAAUGAUAUACAUGUGAUCUUUUCUAGCUUCCAUGUCAUCGUAAUGAUGGGAGUUGAAGCUUUUUCAUCUGUCUUGAAUCUUCUAUCCGAUAGAUGAUCUUCAAAUUAAGAAUAAACUCAAAAAGAAGGAUAAUUAUUUUAACAAUAUUUGACCAAACUUAAAAAGAGAUGUGUUGGACUCUUCGAAAUAGACUUCUCCAAUCAGCUUGACGACAAAUUGAACCUUGUGAGAGUUGAUGAUCUUGAAAAGUGAGGUCAAAGUACAUAUCUUGUUCACUUUCUCUGGCUCAGCCUUGGUUUGAAUCAAGGUAUUAAAUAUCGAUGAUAUCGGAAAUAUCGGUAGUCCAAAAACACGGAAAUUUUGAUGGAAAUAUCGGAAUAUUAUCGAUAUUGAUAAAAAUUGAAUAAAAACCACGGAAAUUGUAAGAAAAACUUAGCAAUUUUUAUUGAAACUUUGCAGAAUGUUUAUUUAGUCAAUUAUCUAUUAGUUUAUCACAAAAAAUUGGAAGGAAAUGCAUUGCAUGAUGGAUUUAACUUAUUUAAGUUGAUUAUAUAGCGAGCUGGCAAACAUUGUGAGUGUAGAAAAUAUGUAGUAAUUAAUGAAAGAAGUUUAAACACACCAUAAUCAUUUAUAUAUAAUGAAUUAGUACAAUAUUUUACACUUUAUAAAUUGCAUGGUAAGAUACAUGAGUGACUUAGUAUCACAUAGAGUUCCUAUGAGGUUCAAAAUUUUGACUAUCUUCAUCAUCUCUAUGUGUAGAGUGUGUGUAUUGUGAAGAGUAGUCAUCAAAUGAUAAAUCCCCAAAAUAGUUUUGCAUGUAAUUGUUAACAUGCCACCCAUAUGGAUCCGAGAUUGGUUGACGUUGUCCAUAAGCAAAAUCAUUUGAAGAUUGAGUCUCAGAUUCUUUCCAUGAGUCGCUCGAUUCCAUCCUAACAGGAAUGAGAUAUGAAGGGUAGGGAAAUGGUUGGUUAUGAGUAUAACCAUAGUUACUACUUCCCACUCCAACAGAGUUCGAAGUUAUAGAUAACGAGUCAUCUUCUUGACUUGACAAAGUCCCCUUGCCUCUUUCUCUACGAGUAUAGUCCUUCCCUAUGGCACCAAUUUCUGGUCCUGCCCACCUACUGUCAUGGUCCUUAUCCUGUGUUGCAUGCGUGAAGUUUGCCUCACUAGUGAAUGGGCUAAUAAAUCCGGGAGGUGGUCCAACAUAGUUUCCAUAUCCACCACUACCUCCAGCUCCACUAUAUCCUUCAACAUUCCCACCUCCGGUGGUAGGUGAGUCUCCUGAUCUUGUACUAGAGCUAUCAUUAGUAUCAGCAGGAUCUUGUGGUUGUGUAGGAUUGGAAGAAGGUGGAAUUCCAGUGUUUCUUGGUCUUCGGCGCAAUAGUUCUUCCAAAGAGUCAGCGCUUGUAGAUCCCACCUCCUCCUCUAAUACUCUUUCUACAUUUAUCCCUUCAUUAUGUGCUUCUUCAACAACUCUUAGAGCUGGGUUGCCUUUAUCAUCAUCUAAAUGAAGAGGUCUAAUCCAUUGAUAAAGUUGGUUACCCUAUGCAUCAUCAUCUUCAGCAACAAUAUUAAACACAUCUAGUGGGUCACCACGGUCGACAUGAUCUAUUUCUGCUUCCUUAUCUCGAAUUUGAAGCUUCAUGUUGUAGUAGCAAUAAACUAUUUUUUCCAACCUACUAUGAGCUAACCUAUAUACCUUAAUUAGAAAUGGCCAAAAAAAAAAAAAAAAAUUAAAACAGGACCAAAAAAAAAAAAAAAAAAAAAAUCUAUUGGAAAAAGAUUUAAGAACAAAAACAUAAAUUAUAUACCUCACCUAGAAAGGGCUUGCAAACUGGAAAACAACCAAAACAAUCCAAAAUGCCUUUUGAGAUGAUUGAAUCGAAAUCGAAACGAACAGACAGACGAAGAGAUGGAGAGAGCAAUCAAAAGGAAAAGAGACGGAACAAAAUGGAAGACAUUUCCAGUAGCUUCAAAAAGCAGGGUGAAUAUAUUGAAGACCAAACCUCACGAUCACUUACACGUGGGUUGGAUAUUUUAAAAGCAGGUUUGGAUUUUUUUUUUCUUCGCUCGGAAAACACACACAUAUUGACACAUGGGCUGGAUAUUUUGAAAGCAGGUUCGGAUUUUUUUUUCUUCUCUUGGAUAACACACACACACACACGCACGCACACAUGCACAGACUACUUCCUUCUCCCUUAUUCCUCUCCUCAUUCAUCUCCGGUUCUCCCCCCAUCUCUUCUCUUCAAGUCUUAUUCCCAGAGCAGACAGACACACACACACCCUACUUUCCCGUGUUUCCCCCUUCCCUAAUCCCUCGAACCUUAUCCCUCAUUUAUGUCCUUGUUUCUUCUCCCCCGGAGCAUAGACCACCACACCCACACCCGCCGAGCACCACAAUGGCGAACACUCCGACGAGCACCAUCACCACCUGUGGAACGUUCCUCAUCCCUUUCUCACCUCCCGACGACCACCAUUAGGCAAGGGGAUCCAUCAAACGGUUUGAUUCAAACCCGAGCAGGUUUUGGGAUCCGGAGAAAAUGGAUUUUUCAUUUACUAUGACGGAGGCGCAUAUCUUGGGUCUGAGCCCGGAUUGUAGUGAGAGAUCUGGGCCGACGCAGCCUCGGCUGCCUUUUCGACGACAGAGCCACGACGAUUGUUUCGAUAAUAUCGAAUAUAUCGCGAUAUUAUUGAUAUUAUCGAUAAUAUCGCGAUAUUUUGACGACAAUUAGAGGGAUACGUGGGAAAAUAUCGGUCUUUCUGAAACGAUAAUAUCGGCAAUAUUUUGCCGAUAUUAUCGAUAUUUUAGUCAUUGGUUUGAACUCCUCCCUUUUAUCUCUGACCCAACAAUAUCUAUUUAGGAGAUCGAAAAUUUGGUGCCAAGUUGUGUGAUAAUAAUAAGAUAAGAGUAUUAGUAAUAAAUAUCAAACUCGUCAUUCAUUUAUAAUAUUUUAAUAAUUUAAUAUUGAAUUUGUCGUUCAUUUAUAAUAUUUCACUUCCACAUGAAGAUAAAGUACUACUCGAAGCCCGAUCCAUUUUCUGUGAGCGGAGGCCACCUUGUUUUGUGUGCCAUGGUCUGCCUCAUUCUGCCUAAGCUUAGUCAUCCUCGUUCUGCAUGCGUCGAGACUGCUUAACACCCAACAUUUUUUACAAAAAUGCACAUUUUUUAUUAUUGGAAAAUAUUUUUCUUGAGUAUUAAGUUAAACUUUUUAAGGAAUUUGGAAGCAAUUUUACGACUUAUUGAACAAAAAAUGUAUAUUUAGUAGAAUAUUUGAGCCGAGAACUAAAAAGAUAAGCAAAAAACAUAGUAGUGAGUCCCAUAACAUUGUCAAAUGGGGUUUGACACUCAAGAAUCUCAACGGAAAGCCUCAUCUUAAUUUUCAAAACUUCACAGUGAAUCGAAGGUGAAAAUAAAUAGAUUGAACGGUAAUUUAUGUACGAAUUUGCAAAACUGACUGAAAACCGUGAGUGUUAACCCAUAUUUUUUUGUAAAAAAUGCAAAUAUUUUAUUUUGUCCAAAUAUUUUCCGUGAGCAUUAAAGCAAUUUGUAUAAUGUAUUUGGAAGUGGAUUUACGAUUUAUUUAGCAACACGUGUAUAUUUAAUAGAAUAUUUAAGCCGAAAAGUAAAAAAAAUAAGUGAACAACAUAGAGACGUUAAAAUGUAUAUUUUAUUAUUAUUAUUAUUUUUGUUAUAAAAUUAGAAAUGUUAAAAUCACUUGUAGGUGAGGCUUAAAAUAAAAAUAGCAAAAUUUUGUUUUGUUAAAUAGUCUUUCACCCUUUUUUGGUUAACAAAGAGGGUUCUAUUAAUAUGUAGUUUAGAUUUUGAUGAAAGAAAAAAUUAACAAAAAGAAAAAUCUGGUUCAAAUAUCGUUAAAUUUAGGUCUUAAAUGGUUGAUUACAAGUGUUCAAAUACGAAUUAUAAUAAAUUUUGCAUGGAAAAAUAUAUUUUGAAGGGCAUGAAUAUAAUAGUUUGUUGUAGUGGUAAGAGAAAUAAAAGAAAAUUGUACAAAAAUGAUUGAAAUUCUUGGGGGUGGCAGAAAGUCACGCCUGCUUUCUGGCACCCGGGGAAUUUCAAUGAUGUUUGUUAAUUUUUCUUUCAGUUCUCUUACCACUACGACAAACUAUCACAUUCAUGUUCUUCAAAAUAUAUUUUUCUGUGCAUGGAGCCUGACUCAUUUUUUGAGCGCCCAGGAGUUCGCCUCAUUCUGCGUGCGUGGAGCCCACCUCGUCUUGUGUGCCUGGGUUCGCCUCAUUCGGCAUAUGAGGUGUUCGCAUCGUUUUGUGUGUCAGAAACCCGUCCUUUUUUUUGUCCAUAGAGCCUGCGUCGUUUUGACAUGCACGGAGCUAACCUCGUUUUCGUGCGCAGGACUGGCCUAGAUUUGUGCGACGUAUCCCUCCUCGUUUCUCAUGCGCAGAGCUCGCCUCAAUGUGCUUGCCGGGAAGCCCGCUCUGUUUUCUUGAGCGCAACCCGCCUUGUUUUGCUUGCCAAUAUUCGCCUCGUUCUGCAUGUGUCGAGCCCGCCUAACAUCCUACUUUUUGACAAAAAUGCAAAUUUUUUAUUUUCGCAAAAUAUUUUUUUUGAGCAUUAAGUUAAACUUUUAAGGAAUUUGAAAGCAAUUUACGACUUAUUGAGCGACAAAUGUAUAUUAAUAGAACAUUUGAGCCGAGAACUAAAAAAAUAAGCGAAAAACAUAGUAAUGAGUUCCAGAACAUUGUAAAAUGGGGAUAGACACUCAAGAAUCUCAAUGGAAAGCCUUGCCUUAAUUUCCAAAACUUCACAGUGAGGUGAAGGUGAAAAUAAAUAGAUUGUACGAUGAUUUAUGUAUGAAUUUGCAAAACCAACUGAAAACCAUGAGUGCUAAUCCACGUUUUCCAAAUAUUUUUUGUGAGCAUUAAAGAAAUCUUUAUAAUGUAUUUAGAAGCGGAUUUACGAUUUAUCGAGUAAUAAGUGGAUAUUUAGUAAAAUAUUUAAGCCGAAAAGUAAAAAAAAUAAGUUAACAACAUAGAGAUGUCAAAAUGUGCGUGUGUAUAUAUAUAUUAGAGAUGUUAAAAUCACAUGUAGGUGAGGCUUAAACAAAAAAUAGCAAAAAUUUGUUUUGUUAAAUAGUCUUUCACCCGCUUUUGGUUGAUAAAGAGGAUUCUAUUAAUAUGUAGUUUAGAUUUUGAAAAGAGAAAAAAUUAACAAAAAGAAAAAUCAGGUUCAAAUAUUGUUAAAUUGAGGUCUUAAAAGGUUGAUUACAAGUGUUUAAAUAUGAAUUAUAAUAGAUUUUGCAUGAAAAAAUAUAUUUUGAAGGGCUUGAAUAUGAUAGUUUAUUGUAAUGGUAAGAGAAAUGAAAACAAUAAUACAAAAAUGAUUGAAAUUCUUGGGGUGGCAGAAAGUCACUUGACUUUCUGGCACCCCAGGAAUUUCAAUCAUGUUUGUUAAUUUUUCUUUAAGUUCUCUUACCACUACAACAAACUAUCACUAGUGUUUAAAUACGAAUUAUAAUAGAUUUUGCACGAAAAAGUAUAUUUUAAAGGCCAUGAAUAUGAUAGUUUGUUGUAGUGGUAAGACAAAUAAAAGAAAAAUGUACAAAAAUGAUUGAAAUACUUGGGGUGGUAGAAAGUAGUUUCAAAAUAUAUUUUUCUGUGUGUGGAGCCCGACUCGUUUUCUGAACAGCCGAGAGUUCACCUCGUUUUGCAUGCACAAAGCCCACCUCAUCUUGUGUGCCUGGGUUCGCCUCGUUCUGCAUGUGAGGUGUCUGCAUCAUUUUGCAUAUCAGAAGCCCGUCCCUUUUUUUGUCCACGGAGCAUGCACCGUUUUGACUUGCACGAAGCCAGCCUCGUUUUUCGUGUGCAGGGGUGGCCUAGAUUUGUGUGUAGUAUCCCUUCUCGUUUCUCAUGCGCGGAACUCACCUUGUUUUGCUUGCCUGGAGGCCCACCAAGUUUUCUUAAGCGCAGCCUGCUUUGUUUUGCAUGCCAAGAUUCAUCACGUUCUGUGUGAGUUGAGUCCGCCUCGUUUUGCCACUACAAGAAAACAUGGAAUAGGUGACCAAAUUUUAUGUGGCGCCCAAAAAUUCUUCACAUAUUUUUUCUAUAUGUGAUGCAUUGUUCAGAGCGUCACGCAUGACUAGUUUUUUAGGUAUGAAAUUUGAGAACAUUUAGGUGAUGAUAAAUACAUCACAUAUUCUAGAAUGGAGUGACGAAAAUCAUAAGCGUCACUUAAAAAUUAUUUUUUAUCUUUUAAGAUUAAAAAGUGGUGACACAAAUUUUAUGAAGUGCUUACUAAAAUAUAUGGCAAGGAACAAUGGCACCCUAAAGAAGUGUGAUAUGUCAGGAAUUUCAAAAAGGUCACAUAUGUGUAUUCUCGGUGACGAAAGUGAUUCAUCACUCUUUCAACAGUAAAUAAAAAAAGAAAAAAAAAAGAAACAUAGUAAAGUAUUAAACAAAUUUGAUAAAGCCCAUCUAAAUUCUAAACUGUUCUCACUCACUUUCCCUUUCUCUAUGUCUCAGACUUCUCCCGUCUCUUGUCCCUGUGACCCAAGCCACCGACGCGUCUCCUAAUCUUCUUCUCUCUAUACCGCGACAUUACCGGUAUCUUUUAAGUUAAACGCUCAAACCCUUUCUCAUCUAUUCGCUGUCUAUCACACUCCACAACCAAAAACCCUAGAGACCAAUUCAACCAACAAGCCAAAUCCACACCAUGUCACGUCUCAACCUUCUUCCAGUUUCUUGCUCCACCACCGAAAACCCAAGAACCCUAACCCUUUCAACCAACUACAUAAAUCUAUGCCAAAUUUCUCCAUGCCUACGAGACUACUAUGUGGCCAAAUGGUUAACGAAUUCAAUUUUUAUCAUUCUUUUUAAGUUAGGGUUUUGGAUAUGCAGGUAAUUGCCUCCAAAUUGAGCACGCCAACAGCCGUCGACCUCUACAUCCAUCUUUCAAGGACUCUAAUUGGGUAAAAUUUGGUUUUUAAUUUUUAGAUUUAUAUAUAAAUAUUAUAUAUCUCCCUCCCGCCUGUCUGCUUUCCGUCACCGUCGAAGUGCCCGGACAUUCAAGCUCUAGAAUCCCCAAUACAUGGAGCUUUUCUGCAUUUCGUUCGCCAAACUUUGGGUAUGUUCUCAAUCUCUAGACCCUAUCCUUUUCCCUUUAACUUUUUGUUUAGUCUCAACUUUAUGGUGUUUUUCUUAUAUUUGUUCUAUCACUGUAAUUUUAAGUUAUUUUAGGUAAUGAAUUUGGUUGAGAAUCUUAGUUAGGUUUGUAAUUUUUUUCUAGUUGCCUGGGUUUGAGGAUGAUUAAUCCACUUUCUAAAUUUUAAUUACUUUGAACUUUGAUUAUUAGGAAACUGCAAUUUCAAAAUUCCAGACAUGAUUAUAUCUCCAUAAUUUCGAUGACAGACUGUUCUAAAAAAGAUUCAUAUGUACUGCCUGAUUAGAUUAUUAGAUUAUUUGUCCUGAAUCCUAAGGUAGAUCUAUAAAUGUUGACAUUUUGCUUAAACGGAAUAGUUUCCACCUCAUUGCUUCAAUCAUGUUUUGUGUCCUUAAAUCCAAGAAAGCUGACUAAACUAAAAUAAACUCUCCCAGUCAUUUAGCUUGGGUGGUGAGAUGAGGACUGAAGGAAUUUUGGUCAGUUUUUGGUCCACCAAUUUUAAAACAGCCACAUAGCCCCAAGAAAAUAGACAACAACUGAUUUCCAGCAAGCUGCCCUUUUCACAUCCAAACUUGUUUUCCCACUUUACAAAUAUUCCUUCGAACUUUAAUUUGUUGUACGGAACCCCUCACACAUUUUGUUCGACAAGCUAGUAUAUUUGCCUCUCAUCAUUUCUAUCCCAUCAUAAUUAUAAACGUUUAAACUAGCUUGAAUAGGGAAAAAGGGAAAAAGAAACACUUAAAGAUCUCUAAUAUUGACAAAGGAUAUGAAUAUAAUCUUUUUAAUUUCAAGCUUGAUAACACAAGUCACUUAAAGUAACUUAUAACUUUCAAGUGCUUGGUAAUGGCGAAUUUUUAUUUUAAAGUAUGUUAUUGUUUAUGCUAAAUGUAAUAUAAGCUUUUUAAAUAAUUGAGUUUGCAUAUCUGGUAUUUUUUAUUUUGAGUUGGGUUUAGUGGAGGCCAUUUGGACUAAGUUGGGAAUGCUCAUUUUCUGGUUUCUGAAUUCCUGAAUGAGAUCAUCAAUUUGAGCAGCUUUCCUUUUCUACUACACUGUGAUGGCAUGCCUAUUCACACGAGAACAAUGUAAAGCUGUGAUCAACUAUUGAAAGUUCCUUCAUCAUUAACUGGUUAGAUUAUAAUCCCAGCCUCUGGAGAUAUGUUUAGCAAUGGCACACAUUCAGUUUGGUGAUUUGGAUAUAUUUUUCACUAGCAUGUUUAGAGGGCCUUUAUUUAUCUUCUACAAAAGAGCACUUGUAUAGAAAGAGCUUGAGAGGCAAACACCGCCUGCCCUAUGAGAAGAAGCGCAAGGCAGGCUCACAAGGUAAUGAAAUUAAAGCACAUAUAAAACUCAUUAUGUAAUUUAGAUAGGCUCAUCUGUUAUGUUUCGUUCUUCUUAAUGUAAUUGUUUCUUCAAUUCUUAUUUUCUUCUCUUUUGUUAAUGUUAUUCAAUUGCUCAAUGCACCUACUAUUGUCUAGACAAACAUACACCUAUGUUUUCUUCUCUUUUUUUUAUGUAAGGAUAAGAUGAAGAAAAAGAAGGAUCAAAUUAAAGGUGAAAGCAUUCAAGAAGCACCUGAGGUAGUGAUGGUGAUCUUUCAAAUGACAAUGAUACUUGUGCUAAACUGAAGACCAUGAUAUGGUUGAUGACUUAUGUAUUUUGUUGUUGGUUUUAAAUAUGCACAUGGUAUACCUAUUUUAUUAUCGACUCAAUGGCUUAGAAUCUUGUUAGCAUUUCAAUAUGUCUAGAGGUGUUAGGAUGCUUAUGUUAGCUUUUGGGAUACUUGGUGUAUGUACUGGAUGUUACCUAACUUAUUGAUCAAUGAAAUGUGAUUAAACAAAGUAUUACCUCAUAUUUGUUAUGAAUGUUAAUUCUAGAUGACGAAGCGGGGUUCGAAUUGUUCCUAAUAGGUAUAUGAAUUUGACACAUGUGACACAAAUUGCGCCACAUGCCAAAGGAAUAUGUGACACUUUCAAUUUCACUUAUCCUUAGCCAUAGCAUUUUACGAUCAGAUUGCGUGAUGAUAAAUUCCUUACUUAUACAUUUGUUAUGUGACGAACUUAUAGGUCACUAACUUUUGUCUUUUGUGACGCUUAUUUCGUCACACGUAAAGUUAUUAAGUGACAAAUGCGGCGUCACUAAUACUUAAAAAAUGUGGUGAGUGAAAAAAUUUGUCACGAAACUAUAGGUGACGUAUAUGUGACAAACAUAGUGACGCUGGAUUUUCGUCAUAUAUAAUCAAAUGUGACAAAUUUUCAUGUUUAUGUGACGAAUGUGUGUCGCCACCUAAGUCAUGUUUUCUUGUAGUGUGUGCGUCGAUCGUCUAACCCCAUGUUUUUUUGACAAAAAUGCACAUUUUUUAUUUUCACAAAAUAUUUUUCCUGAGCAUUAAGUUAAAUUUUUUAAGAAAUUUGGAAGCAGUUUUACGGCUAAUUGAGCGACAAAUGUAUAUUUAGUAGAAUAUUUGAGCCGAGAACUAAAAAAAUAAGCGAAAAACAUAGUAGUGAGUCCUAGAACAAUGUCAAAUGGGGUUAGACACUCAAGAAUCUCAACGGAAAGUCUCACCUUAAUUUCCAAAACUUCAUAGUGAGGCGAAGGUGAAAAUAAAUAGAUUGAACGGUGAUUUAUGUAUGAAUUUGCCAAAUCGAUUGAAAACCGUGAGUGUUAAUCCACGUUUUCCAAAUAUUUUCCGUGAGCAUUAAAUAAAUCUUUAUAAUGUAUUUGGAAGCGGAUUUACGAUUUAUCGAGCAACAAGUGUAUAUUUAGUAAAAUAUUUAAGCCAAAAAGUAAAAAAAAAUAAGUGAACAAAUUAGACAAAAAAUAGCAAAAUUUUGUUUUGUUAAAUAGUCUUUUACUCUCUUUUGGUUGACAAAGAGGGUUCUAUUAAUAUGUAGUUUAGAUUUUGAUAAAAGAAAAAAUUAACAAAAAGAAAAAUUAGGUUCAAAUAUCGUUAAAUUAAGGUCUUAUAUUGUUGAUUACAAGUGUUUAAAUACGAGUUGUAAUAGAUUUUGCACGGAAAAAUAUAUUUUGAAGGGCUUGAAUAUGAUAGUUUAUUGUAGUGGUAAGAGAAAUAAAAGAAAAUUGUAGAAAAAUGGUUGAAAUUCUUGGGGGUGGCAAAAAGUCACGCCUGAUUUUGUGGCUCGUGACUUUCUGACACCCAUGAAUUUCAAUCAUGUUUGUUAAUUUUUCUUUCAGUUCUCUUACCACUACGACAAACUAUCACAUUCAUGUUCUUCAAUAUAUAUUUUUCUGUGCGUGGAGUCCGACUCGUUUUCUCAACACCCAGGAGUUCGCCUCGUUUUACGUGUGCGGAGCCCACAUUGUCUUGUGUGCCUGGGUUCACAUCGUUUUACAUGCAAGAAGCCCGUCCCUUUUUUUGUGCAUGGAGCUUGUGCUGUUUUGACGUGCACGGAGCCAGUCUCGUUUUCCACGCGCAGGGUAGGCCUAGACUUGUGCAACGUAUCCCUCCUCGUUUCUUAUGUGCGGAGCUCGUCUUGUUUUGCAUACUGGAAGCCCAUCCCGUUUUCUUGAGCCCAACCCGUCUUGUUUUGCAUGUCAAGAUUCACCUCGUUUUACGUGAGCUGAGUCGGCCUCAUUUUGCUCAUUUUGUGUGAGUCGAUCCCUCCUAAAACCCUGCUUUUUGACAAAAUGCAAAACUUCACAGUGGGGCAACUUACCAGUGCGGCAACUUAACUUCCAAAACUUCACAGUGGGGCAACUUAACAACUAAGACAACUCUUCCGAAUGUUUAGCGCUUCUUCUAGUGCCAAUUUUGACUUGACUGGCAGCACUUCUAAAAAACUUGACGAGCAAAGGGAAAUCAGAGAACUUCUUCACAACUUUGAUCCUCCAAUGUCUAUAUCAACUAGACGACAACGUCGACAAGCAUUUAAAGAAAAACUGCAACAAGGAAUUCUACGUCCUGGUGAUACUGAUGUCUCAUUCGAAAGUUUUCCAUAUUACCUAAGGUGCAGCAAUUUGCUUUUUAUUUUUAUUUUAUUUAUUGUGCAUUAGAUCAUCAUAUGAUACUGAACUAGCUUCCCUUAUUGUGAUUGGUCCAUAUGUAGUUGGACUCUUAUUGGUCAAUUCUGAGCUCAGACCUUUCCUCAUUUUGCAUUUUUACAGUGAUACAACAAAGAAGGUUUUGAUUGCAUCCACCCUCCCGAAUUUGAGGUGUAGCAAGUUUGGAAAAUAUUUUUCAUCACUACCUACCGGGAGCCCGCGCAUAUUGUUAUCUGGUCCAGCAGGUACUUCUGCCAUUUUAAUUUCUACACAUAGGCUUGUAAUUCUGUGGUUGAUGAUGCUUGUAAAUUCUGAAGUUUGAUAUUUUCUUUUUCUUUCCGUGUUAAUUCAUUAUGUUUUUAUUUUAACAAUUCUUUUGUAGGUUCUGAGAUAUAUCAGGAAACCUUGGCAAAGGCACUCGCGAAACAUUUUGAUGCUAGAUUACUAAUUGUAGAUUCUCUUCUCCGGCAUGGUGUAUGUUCCUUCGUGUUGCUUUUUUAACUAGAAUCUUGUUUGCUUACAAGCAUAUAUUGGAGUUCUGUUGUUGUUGAUCUACUUUUUUUCUAGCAGUUUUCUUCGUCAUUCCAGGAAUUCAAGUUUAGAAUUGUGGAUUUUUCUUUUAAAUAUUUCUUGGAAUAUACUUCUUAAUAGGUUGAUGAAAGUGUUUCCACUCAUGCAAUGCGUGAACUUCUUGAGGUACUCAUCUCCUUGUGUGGUUCUGGAGGUGAUGAUAUUGGCAAUCUUGCAAUCGGUGAACUUCUUGAGGUACUCAUCUCCUUUACACUAACAGGAGCUCAUUUAACUGUACCAAUAUAGUUGCUGUUAAUUUGGUAUUAAUAUCUGCACCAAUGUUGUGCAGGUGGCAACCAAUAUCUGCACCAAUGUUGUGCAGGCGGCAACCAAUGAGAGUAAAAGUCUUCCUUUGAUAGUGUUUUUGAAAGAUAUAGAAUCGGUUAUGGUAGGUAACCCAGAUGCAUAUAGUGUCUUGAAGAGUAAGCUUGAAAACUUGCCAGAGAAUGUUGUUGUGAUCGGCUCUCAUACCCAGUUGGACAAUCGCAAGGACAAGGUAAGAGGCUGAGGAUUUUAUCAGUUAGCUGAUUUUGAACUCACUAUUGUAGUUUGACAUUAACAGCUUUGCUUGAUCUCGCUUUUCCGGUAUGUGAAUUUCCAUUAUCUUUUCCAUUUUAUUUUUCUUGGUGGCAUGUAAUGCUAAUGCAAGUUUUAACUACUCAUAUCAGCAUCUGUAAUCAUGCUGAUUCUGAUUUAGAUUUGUAGACCUUGACAACUGUGCAAAGUGCAUUACUUUCUUUGCCUUUGAUGAGUGAGAGCGAGUCUUGAGUUUUUACUCUCUAACUAAAUUUUUAUCUGAUUAAUUUAAUUCUCAAUUUGCUUUCUGUUCGAUUUACAUUCAACUCGGUCUCACUUUCUCUUGCAAAUGUACACAAAUUCCUCAAGGUCAAUUGAAACAGUCUGAUGAGGGGGCUUUGUUCACAUUGAAAUAUAAAAUUCAACAAUACUUUGCCCUCUUUUUCGUAGAUGAUGAUACUUUUCUUCUGAAAAACCAAGAUGACACAUUUAUUGGUGGUGUUCAGGAUAACCUUGGGGGUAGGCUGCAUGACAGGAGCAAAGAAACUCCUAAAACUAUGAAGCAAGUUCAACUCUCUCGGAUUUUCCCCAACAAAGUGACCAUGCCCCAGGUAGUCAGCCUUUUUUCUUAUAUGGUCAUUGUGCUUAGGGUGGUUCGGUAUGGGAUCCCAUACCGAAACCCUUGUCCCGAUUCCCAUACCGAAAUUUUCGGGAAUCCCAAUUUCAAUACCGAUCCCAAACCAAAUUUUCGGGAAUCCCAAUUUUCGGGAAUCCCGAAAUAGUUUCGGGAUUUCGGGACAAAUCGGGAAUCCCAAAAAUAAUUUUAGGCUUUUGGACUUUUGGGCUUUUGGACAAAAAAAGCUAAUAUUGGUCCAAUUGGACAAAAACCUAAUAUUGGGCCUGCCCACUGAAUGUAACAGCCCCCACAUAUGGGCUUAACUUUUAUUCAACCAAAUAAAAAAAAUAUUGGGCAAACCUGCAAUGUUUAUAAGAGCAGAACGAACAUUAGCAGUUCAGCUGCAUUUUCCACUUGUAUUGUAGCCAAGGUUUUAAAAUAAAUAAAGUAACAAACCCAAAAGCAAAAAAAUUAGUUACAAUCCAAAGUUUUAAUAAUUAAGUUACAAACCAAAAGCAAAAAAACAAAGUUUCAAGUUUAUGAAGAUUGUUGACAUCUUCGGCCCCUUCUUGUUGGCACUUGUAAUUUUCCCCUUGAUGUUGAUGGUUGAGCCCUUCCCCUUACAAUGGGUGGUCGUGGUCGUGAAGGUAGUGAUUGAUUUUGACGUUGUUGAACUUGUACUUGAGGUGGUCGAGGAGGUGGAGGUGGCAUUUCAUUUUCUUGUGUUGUAUUCUCCUCACCUCCCAAAUUAGCCAUGUCUAAAACAAUAAACCACAAAUCAUUUACAUUGAAUUAUAGUCUAAUAGAUAAUAAAUACUAAGAAAAUAAAAGAUGAAAUUAAAUUGUUUACUUACUUCUUUCUAAGCGUUCAAGCUCCUCGUAGAAACAUAAUUCGUCAAGGGUAGGCUCCUUGUCUCACUACUUCUACUUCUGCUACUUCCUUUUCCCCCUCUUCCCCCUCUUCCCCCUCUUCUUCUAUUUGUUCUAAUGCAAUAUCCUCCUCCACAUCCAGAUCAUCAUCCCAACAAUCUUCAUAAUAAUCAUUAUGCAAAUAAUCUUGAGGUGAGGGAGUGCCUAGUUGAAGGGUACCACUAAGUUGGGUUUGUUUUCGUUUUCCUAAUACCAAGACCAUAUGUGUACUAGAUUGGCUACUAGAUCCGUCCAUCCUAACAAAUAAAAUAACAAUGUACAUUAAUAUAUCACAACCACAGUUCAGCAUAGUGUGUACAUUAAUAUAUCACAACCACAGUUCAGCAUAGUGUGUACAUUAAUAUAUAACAAUGUACAUUAAUAACAAUGUACAAUCAAAGUAAAAUCUGACCCAAUAUAUACAUCCUAUGAUAACAUUAACUUGUUACUUGUUUAAAUUAUGUAAUGGGAUUUUAAAAUGGUUAAUGGCAUGCGAUUCAUCACAAAUGAAGUAAGGAAAAUAAUGUGCACAUAUUCAGCAAGCUGAUCACAAGUAAAACAGAUAUAAAUAAAAGACAUCACCAUAAACCUACCUCUUCAUGAAUUUUUGUAAUUUCACGAGCUAGGACGCAUUUUCUGAAACACAAUUACAAACUCACCAAAUCAGUUUUUUGUAAAACCACUAAGUCAGUAAAAGCGCAUAAAUCCAUACAUGGAAGUUUAAUUUGUAACUCACCAUAACAAAAACUAAUAUAUAAUCAUUUUUUUCUUAAGUCAGUAAAGCUUUUAUUGAAGUUGGUAUUUUUUCUUAAUACCUUUAUUAAAAUUGAUUUUUAAUCUGAAGCCUUAAAAGUAUUUACCUUGAAACACCAAAAACUGAAGAAGUCUCUUCAAGAAACUGUUGAAGUUUGUGGGGAGGCACAUAGAAUAUUUGGGUCGUCCCCUCAUUUGCUGAAACCGUCAACCUCUCUCUUCUAGAUCCAACAUGUUUAGAGAGAAAUCCAACUGCAGAAGUAUACUCAGUUUCAGAGUUCUAUAUACAUCUUAUCCACCAAGAAGAAUAUCUGCAGCAUCAUUUCCAUGGAAAACUUACCAAACGUAAACUCAUCCGUGGAGAGGCCAGAUGCAGAGAGAGCAGCCACAAAAGCAGACGGCCCAGGUAUAGGAAUAACAGGGAUGUUUUCAUCCACGCACAGCUUUGCCUGCAAUAAAACUUGAGAGAGAUCCAAUUGCAGAAGUAUACUCGAGAGAGAUCCCCAGUUCUGUGACCUGUCCUGUCCUGUCCGUGAAAGACAAUCGCCCUAGAGAGAGAGAGAGCAGUGGUUGUGUGGUGAAGGAAGGCUGGAGAGUCAGAGACGAGAGUAUGGUGUGGUGGUGGGUCGGUUGCUGGUUGGAAUUCGACAGUAUGGUGAGGGACGACGUUGGUGAGGGUCGGAGGCUCACGGCUGCGCUUCGAAACAAAUGAACGGAGGAAUACAAAAGUGAAAUGUUAUCAUCUGACCUAAAAACAAAUCGACGGCACAGAUUAAAUCCAAAACAAUCAACGGUUGAAAUAAUUCUCUUAUAAUUAAAAAAUUAUAUAUAUAUAUAUAUAUAUAUUUUGGUUCGGUAUGGGAAUACCGAAAAAAUGAAAUGCAAUACCGAAUCCCAUACCGAAAAUUUCGGUUUGGUUUGGGAUUACAUCCCGAAACUUUCGGGAAUUUUGGUUUGGGAUUAUUUUGGUUUGGGAUCGGGAUUUUUUUGGUUUGGUUUGGGAUUUUUGGGAUUUUUUUCCAGCCUACUUGUUAUUGCUUGCAUGAGGUAAUAUUUGUCGGCUAUCCUGGCAGGAUGAGGCUUUACUUUCGGACUGGAAGCAGCAGUUUGAACGUGAUGUUGAAACUUUGAAAUCGAAGUUUUAUAUUGUUGCCAUUCACUCAGUAAGUACAUCUGAUCACAUCUACUUUUUGCUCUUAUUGUUCUUUCCCUUAAAUACGCCUCUCAUGUAUACUGUUCUUACACCUUCUUGCGCACUUAUUGAAACACAAGGAUGUGAAGAUUGUGCACAUGUGCUUGCUAAUGCUAACCGUGAUUCAUUUCCCUGUUGACAUUUUUAGUUAGCAGUUUAGUGGCUAAUGUAGUGUGUUUAGUGCUUUCGAUGCUAUUCCUGUAUAUUUUCUCGUAAGGCUGAUGUUUUCAGGUUCUUAACCGAGUUUCUGUGGAUUGCCCUGACCUUGAAAGUCUGUGCAUUAAAGAUCUAGUGCUUACAACUGAAAGUGCGUUUUCUUGAACUCAAAGUUUGUAGUGCAGAACAUUUUGCAGGGAAUAUUGACCUUAAUAUUCACUUAUGCGAUUCAUUGUAUAAUCCUUUCUUCAACAGGUGUUGACAAAGUAGUAGGCUGGGCUGUUAGUCACCAUCUUAUGCAUUGUUCAGACGCUUUAGUUAAAGAUGACAAACUUGUUAUUUCUACUGAAAGGUUGUACAAUUUCUUAGGACAGUGUAGUUUAAAUAUACCGUAUAUUCUGUUUUCUUAUCAUAUUUUAUGGUUCUGCGCUACAGUCUUAGGGAUGGACUAAACAUUCUACAAGGCAUUCAAAACGAAAACAAGAGCAUAAAGAAAUCACUUAAGGUAAGUUGAUAUUGUGGGGAAGUACCACAAAUGCCUUGUUUCGAGCUCUCUGAAGAUGAAAUGUAAAUUAGAUUUUCCAUAAUCAGGAAAGUAAGUGUAUAUAUAUUGGAUUUAACUCCAUGAUAUUUCAGGAUGUGGUUACUGGAAAUGAAUUUGAGAAAAAACUUCUUGCUGAUGUUAUUCCACCGAGCGAUAUUGGGGUUAGUUUUGAUGACAUCGGGGCCUUGGAAAAUGUGAAGGACACCCUAAAGGAGUUGGUGAUGCUUCCACUUCAGAGGCCUGAAUUAUUUACCAAGGGACAGUUGAAUAAGGUAGAAACAUGGCACUCUUUUCAUUUGUCCCCUUUGGAAAGUGAAACAGUUCUAUGUUGGUGCUUCUUUUCUUUCAUGUUUCUUAUCUGAUUAUCGUCACUUAUUCUACAGCCUUGUAAAGGAAUCUUGCUAUUUGGUCCCCCGGGUACUGGAAAGACUAUGCUUGCGAAGGCUGUUGCAACUGAAGCUGGUGCAAACUUUAUUAACAUAUCAAUGUCAAGUAUUACUUCAGAGGUAUUUUUGCAUUUUAUCGUGGUUGUUGGAACUUGGAUAAACAUUUUGUGACGACUAUUGAAUCCAUAUGACCCCUUUAACUUUUGUUGCAGUGGUUUGGGGAAGGAGAGAAGUACGUUAAAGCGGUGUUCUCCUUAGCUAGUAAAAUUGCCCCUAGUGUUGUUUUUGUUGAUGAGGUUGGUUCAUUACAUUCUAUAUAUUUGCGCUGUCCAGGGAACCUUUUUCUUUAGUUCUCGUUUGGAAAAUGUGAGUUAUACAAAGAGUUUUCUGGAAUAUACCAUGCCAGUUUAUGAGUGUUUGUAGAAUCCUUUUGUUCGUCUUGUUUCACUCAAUUUUAUUCCCGUCCAAUUUGAUUUUUUUAUUGGUACCAUCAUAGGUGGACAGCAUGUUAGGCAGACGUGAAAAUCCUGGGGAACAUGAGGCUAUGCGUAAAAUGAAAAAUGAGUUCAUGGUUAACUGGGAUGGUCUGCGUACAAAGGAUAAAGAACGUGUAUUGGUACUUGCUGCUACUAAUAGGCCUUUUGACCUUGAUGAGGCUGUUAUUAGGAGGCUUCCGAGGAGGUAAAAUCGCAUGUUUGCCUGUUGUUCUGCUACUGCAUCUGUUAUAUGUCAACGCAAGUAUAUUGACUUCCUGCGUACAAAAUUAAUUCUAUGUGCAGAUUGAUGGUGAACUUGCCAGAUGCCCAGAACAGAGAAAAAAUACUGAGAGUUGUAUUGGCCAAAGAAGAUUUGGAAACUGACGUUGAUUUGGAGGCAGUUGCAAAUAUGACAGAUGGGUAUUCCGGAAGUGACUUAAAGGUUGCCUACUAAUUUUUACGAAACCCAUCUAAGCUUUUUACAUACGUAGUUUUAUUUUUGUCGGUUAUAUUCUAUGUAGUUCUAUUUUCUCUUAUGUAAUGGAUUGUCCUGAUUUUUGUUGUGGUUGCAGAAUCUGUGUGUUGCUGCAGCUCACCUCCCCAUUAGGGAAAUUUUAGAGAAGGAGAAAAAGGUUGGUUUGCUGGACAGUGUAACAAAAAUACAAAGCCCUUGUUGAUUUUUUAACUUGAAGUGGUGUGGUUGGUUACUGCAACUAAGUAGUUCUUUCUUCACGUAUCGCAGGAGAGAAGUUUAGCUUUGGCGGAGAACAGACCUGUACCGGAGUUGUACUGCAGCACCGACAUUCGUCCUUUGAAGAUGGAGGACUUCAAACAUGCGCAUGAGCAGGUACGUUGUGACCUAAUAAUACAAUACGGGGUUUUGGCUUCUUGUAGUAUUCUACCGUGGUCGGAAGUGUUCGGUUGCGUUCCGGAUCAUUGGCUGUCUAAUAUUGAAUUCAAUGCAGGUGUAUGCAAGUGUGUCUUCGGAGUCGACAAACAUGAGUGAGCUCCUCCAAUGGAAUGACCUAUACGGCGAAGGCAGAUCAAGAAAGAAGACGUCUCUCAGCUAUUUUAUAUAGUGUUUAAAUACGAAUUAUAAUAGAUUUUGCAUGGAAAAAUAUAUUUUGAAGGCCAUGAAUAUGAUAGUUUGUUGUAGUGGUAAGAGAAAUAAAAAAAAAUAUACAAAAAUGAUUGAAAUGCUUGAGGUGGCAGAAAGUCACUUCAAAAUAUAUUUUUCCGUGCGUGGAGCUCGACUCGUUUUCUGAGCACCCGAGAGUUCACCUCAUUUUGCAUGCACAGAGCCCGCCUCAUCUUGUGUCUGGAUUUGCCUUGUCCUGCAUGUGAGGUGUCCGCAUCGUUUUGCAUAUCAAAUGCUCGUCCCUUUUUUUGUCCACGGAGCAUGCGCCGUUUUGACUUGCACGAAGCUAGCCUCGUUUUUCAUGCGCAGGGCUGGCCUAGAUUUGUGCGACGUAUCCCUCCUCGUUUCUCAUGCGCAGAGCUCAAGUCGUUUUGCAUGCCGGGAAGCCCACCAAGUUUUCUUGAGCGCAACCCCCCUUGUCUUGUGUACCAAGAUUCAUCUCGUUCUGCGUGAGCUGAGUCCGCAUCGUUUUGUGUGCGUCGAUCCUGCCUAACCCCAUGCUUUUUGACAAAAAUGCAAAUUUUUUAUUUUCACAAAAUAUUUUUCCUAAGCAUUAAGUUAAAGUUUUUAAGGAAUUUGGAAGCAGUUUUAGGGCUUAGUGAGCGACAAAUGUAUAUUUAGUAGAAUAUUUGAGCCGAGAACUAAAAAAAUAAGCAAAAAACAUAGUAGUGAGUCCUAGAACAUUGUCAAAUGGGGUUAGACACUCAAGAAUCUCAACGGAAAGCCUCGUCUUAAUUUCCAAAACUUCACAGUGAGGCGAAGGUGAAAAUAAAUAGAUUGAACGGGGAUUUAUGUACGAAUUUGCCAAACCGACUGAAAACAGUGAGUGUUAAUCCACGUUUUCCAAAUAUUUUAUGUGAGCAUUAAAUAAAUCUUUAUAAUGUAUUUGGAAGCGGAUUUACUAUUUAUCGAGCAACAAGUGUAUAUUUAGUAAAAUAUUUAAGCCGAAAAGUAAAAAAAAAAAAAAGUGAACAAAUUAGACAAAAAAUAGUAAAAUUUUGUUUUGUUAAAUAGUCUUUUACUGACAAAGAGGGUUCUAUUAAUAUGUUGACACACCCCGACCUAGAUCGAAGCAUGCUGGCCGUCAUGUGGGAGUGACGUAACCAUGUGCACAGUGCGGAAGCAAUAAAGAUAUUAGGGAAAUGCGAAAGAAUAAAAACCAAACUACUAGCAGUACUAGCUAAGAUAGAGUGCUAGUGCGAGAUUAAAUGUGAAAUACACAACUAGAGCAUAAUAUCCUAGAUGCAGUCAAGUAGGACAAGUACUAAUUGUACAACACCUAAGGGUGAUCCUACAUUUAUGAUGUUUUGUCAGAACCCUUGUCAAAAUCCUCGUGAUCCAGCAAAGCACUUAUACCUAAAACCUGGAGGGGCGCAAAACAAAAAGUGUGAGUGGGCAAAAACAAAGCUUUUCAAAAUCAUUUCAUUUCUCAAAAGUUCUAACCCCUUGCCGUAAAACCUGUAUAAUUUUCCCAGAAAAAUAUAAUAUAUGCUAUAUCAGAAUUCAUGCUCAGGAUGAAAAUCCAUAGAAAUAUAUCAUGCCAAAGUAUCUCAAUGAAAUGCCAUAAGUAAUCUAGUUAAAUAUAUCAGUGCCAGAUAUCAUAACAACUGGAUCUACCUAACUUGACCUGUACGGCUGAGUACAUAGCUCAUAACCAAUCUCAAUCAUAUCAAAUCAAAUCCUGCACACGAGUUGGAACCACCUAAAGUGGUCUGUACGAUAGGAUUAGGUGUAAUAUAAAUAUGCUCUAGUGCUACGAUCACGUGAAGACUGUGCGAAUAAUCGCCGGUCACUUACGAGUCGGAACCACCCAAAGUGGUAUGUACGACAAGCUUGUGCACCUAACUUGGAUCCAAGGUGAGCAUAUGGUGCGGGAGGUGAACAUCACGUGAAUGACUGUGCCCUAACCUUGGACGGGAGCACUAACACCAGGGUGCAAGUUUAUGAGCUCUCAAUACAUCACAUCAUAUCUCACAUAACUGAAGCAAUCACAUAUCUUUAAUUUAUGAACUUACCUGGCACUUACCUGUGCGUCCACAACACUAAUCAUGAAUAUAUGCAACUACUAAUGCAUAAUUAAAAUAGGCAAAUACUUGCAUGGCAUUUCCAAAACGUAAUUUCAUUUAAACACAUUUUCUGGGAAAAAUCUCAAGUAUAUAGGUAUAUACGGAAAACCAAAAGCCCACUCACUGAUAUGUCAAAGGGUAUUAGCCCCCGAGCCUCGAUUGAUGGUGCUCGUCCUCAGGAUAGGUCUCACCUAUAUGCGAAAUAACUUAAUAAAAGUUAUUUAAAGCACAUACAAAAAACUAGGAAAUAACUUCUCAUACAAUGCUCAAAUGGGGUUUUUGAAUAUACCAACGUGAUCUACUCAACACCACGAAUAUCCCCAUAUUUUUAGAAAAAAUUUCCGACCACUCACGUUCCCGCCAAGGCAUGGCUCAACGCGCCUCCAUGUGCGGCCAAACCCUAACCGAAACUUAACUGCCGUUAGGAAUAUUUCGUUAAAACCUUAACAUAAAUUAACGGCGUUACCAGACGCCGUUAGAAUAUUUCGUCAAACUUGACAGAAUAUUCCCUUCUCCUUCCUUGGUUCGCCGGAGUUCGGCACCGGUCGCCGCUGCACUCGCCGAUUUCUAGAAAAAUUUCAAAUCUUCAUAUCUCUUUUGAUUCUCAACCAAAAUUCACAAAAUUUAUACCAAAUUGAAGCUUAGGAUGAGAGGAACAAAACCUUACCACUUUGGGGACCUAAGACCAACGGAAUCUCGCUAGAGAAACCUCGAUAAUCCGACCAAAAAUUGAAACUCGCGAACUGGGACUUCCAAACAUCCAAAACACUCCAACUUUCUUUCCCAAGCUUCGUGAAGAUGUUUUAAGGCUUCCUAUAACCUUAAAACUCCUUGAAAACUUCGAAAUCAUGAGUGCAUGAACAGUAACCCAAAACUGGGUUCUCGGGAAAAUGAGGCCUUCACAUCCAAAUAAUAGUAUCAAUGGAUUCCUGGGCUCUCAAGGAACUUGAAUAUGGUCUCCAAAGGUUCGAUCUGAGGAUGAAAGUGAAGGUUCAAGGUUUGUCCGUACAAUUGUACGGAAAUGGAAGAAAAUGCGAGAGGGAGGAGAGAGAGUCAACAGGAUAGGGUGAGGGUAUGUGUGUGUGGUCCAGAUUGGUCCCCAACCAAAGACAAAUAAACUUAAAAAAAUCUAAUUGGGUCCAAUCUAUUAGGAAAUGAACUUAAUUGGUCCAAAAACUUAGCUUAAAUCACAACCACAACCCAACGCUCAAUGGCAUUUUAGACUUUUCACACCGCCGAUAAAAAAUAUUUCGGGACGGGCUGUGACAUAUGUAGUUUAGAUUUUGAUAAAAGAAAAAAUUAACAAAAAGAAAAAUCAAGUUCAAAUAUCGUUAAAUUAAGGUCUUAAAUUGUUGAUUACAAGUGUUUAAAUACGAAUUAUAAUAGAUUUUAAACGGAAAAAUAUCUUUUGAAGGGCAUGAAUAUGAUAGUUUGUUGUAGUGGUAAGAGAAAUAAAAGAAAAUGUAGAAAAAUGGUUGAAAUUCUCGGGGGGUGGCAGAAAGUCACACCUGACUUUGUGGCUCGUGACUUUCUGGCACCCAGGAAUUUCAAUCAUGUUUGUUAAUUUUUCUUUCAGUUAUCUUACCACUACGACAAACUAUCACAUUCAUGUUCUUCAAUAUAUAUUUUGCCAUGCGUGGAGUCCGACUCGUUUUCUGAGCACCCAGGAGUUCGCCUCGUUCUAAAUGCGCAGAGCCCGCAUAGUCUUGUGUUCUAGGUUCACCUUGUUCUGCAUGUGAUGAGGUGUCCGCAUCGUUUUAUGUGCCAGAAGCCCAUCCCUUUUUUUGUCCAUGGAGCCUGCGUCGUUUUGACGUGCGCAGAGCCAGCCUCGUUUUCCGUGCGCAAGGCUGGCCUAGAUUUGUGUGACGUAUCCCUUCUCAUUUCUCAUGCGCGAAGCUCGCCUUGUUUUGCGUGCUGGAAGCCCGUCCUGUUUUCUUGAGCCUAGCCCUCCUUGUUUUGUGUAUCAAGAUUCGCCUCGUUUUGCAUGAGUAGAGUCUGCCUCAUUUUGCUUGCGUCGAUCCCGCCUAAAACCCUACUUUUUGACAAAAAUGCAAAACUUCACAAUGGGGCAACUUAAUUUCUAAAACUUCACAGAGGGGUUACUUAUCAACUAAGUCUAAGACCACUAUUCCGAAUGUUUAGCGGUUCUUCUAGUGCCAAUUUUGACUUGACUGGCAGCAUUUCUAAGAUACUUGACGAGCAAAGGGAAAUCAGAGAACUUCUUCACAAUUUUGAUACUCCAAUGUCGAUAUCAACUAGACGACAACGUCGACAAGCAUUUAAAGAAAAACUGCAACAAGGAAUUCUACGUCAUGAUGAUAUUGAUGUCUCAUUCGAAAGUUUUCCAUAUUACCUAAGGUGCAGCAAUUUGCCUUUUUUAUUAUUAUUGUGGAUCAGAUCAUCAUAUGAUACUGAACUAGCUUCCCUUAUUGUGAUUGGUCCAUAUGUAGUUGGACUCUUAUUGGUAAAUUCUGCGCUCAGACCUUUCCUCAUUUUGCAUUUUUACAGUGAAACAACAAAGAAGGUUUUGAUUGCAUCCACCCACCCGAAUUUGAGGUGUAGCAAGUUUGGAAAAUAUUUUUCAUCACUACCUACCGGGAGCCCGCGCAUAUUAUUAUCUGGUCCAGCAGGUACUUCUGCCAUUUUAAUUUUUACACACAGGCUUGUAAUUUUGUGGUUGAUGAUGCUUGUAAAUUCUGAAAUUUUUAUAUUUUCUUUUUCUUUCCUUGUUAAUUCAUUAUGUUUUUAUUUUAAUAAUUCUUUUGUAGGUUCUGAGAUAUAUCAGGAAACCUUGGCAAAGGCACUCGCGAAACAUUUUGGCGCUAGAUUACUAAUUGUAGAUUCCUUCAUGGCCCUUUUUUAACUAGAAUCUUGUUUGCUUACAAGCAUAUCUUCUCCUUCUGUUGUUGUUGAUCUACUUUUUUCUAGCAGUUUUCUUUGUCAUUUCAGGAAUUCAAGUUUAGAAUUGUGGAUUUUUCUUCUUAAUAGGUUGAGGCACCACCGCCCAAGGAUUCUGAUUCUGUUAAAGAAGUACCAAGGCUUGAAAGAUUUUCCACAUUUACGAAACGAGCAGCUCGUGCAAUCCGUGAACUUCUUGAGGUACUCAUCUCCUUGCACUUUUCUGGAGGUGAUGAUAUUAACAAUCUUGCAAUCGGUGAACUUCUUGAGGUACUCAUCUCCUUUACACUAACAGGAGCUCCCUUUACUGUACCAAUAUAGUUGCUGUUAAUUUGGUAUUAAUAUCUACACCAAUGUUGUGCAGGCGGCAACCAAUGAGAGUAAAAGUCUUCCUAUGAUAGUGUUUUUGAAAGAUAUAGAAAAGGUUAUGGCAGGUAACCCAUAUGCAUAUAGUGUCUUGAAGGGUAAGCUUGCAAACUUGCCAGAGAAUGUUGUUGUGAUCGGCUCUCAUACCCAGUUGGACAAUCGCAAGGCAAAGGUAAGAGGCUCAGGAUUUUAUCAGUAAGCUGAUUUUGAACUCACUAUUGUAGUUUGACAUUAACAGCUUUGCUUGAUCUUGCUUUUCCGGUCUGUGAAUUUCCAUUAUCUUUUCCAUUUUAUUUUUCUUGGUGGCAUGUAAUGCUAAUGCAAGUUUUAACCACUCAUAUCAACAUCUGUAAUCAUGCUUAUUCUGAUUUCGAUUUGUAGACCUUGACAACUGUGCAAAGUGCAUUACUUUCUUUGCCUUCGAUGAGUGAGAGCAAGUCUUCAGUUUUUACUCUGUAACUAAAUUUUAAUCUGAUUAAUUUAAUUUUCAAUUCGCUUUCUGUUUGAUUUACAUUGAACUCGGUCUCACUUUCUCUUGCAAAUGAACACAAAUUCCUCAAGGUCAAUUGAAACAGUCUGAUGAGGGGGCUUUGUUCACAUUGAAAUAUAAAAUUCAAUAAUACUUUGCCCUCUUUUUCGUAGACGAUGAUACUUUUCUUCUGAAAAACCAAGAUGACACAUUUAUUGAUGGUGUUCAGGAUAACCUUGGUGGUAGACUGCAUGAUAGGAGUAAAGAAACUCCUAAAACUAAGGAGCAAGUUCAACUCUCUCGGAUUUUCACCAACACAGUGACCAUACAGCUGCCCCACGUAGUCAGCCUUUUUUCUUAUAUGGUCAUUGUGCUACUUGUUAUUGCUUGCAUGAGGUAAUAUUUGUCGGCUAUCCUGGCAGGAUGAUGCUUUACUUUCGGACUUGAAGCAGCAGUUGGAACGUGAUGUUGAAACUUUGAAAUCGCAGUCUAAUAUUGUUACCAUUCGCUCAGUAAGUACAUCUGAUCACAUCUUCUUUUUGUUCCUAUUGUUCUUUCCCUUAUUGAAGGAUGUGAAGAUUGUGCACAUGUGCUUUCUAAUGCUAACCGUGAUUCAUUUCUCUGUUGACAUAUUUUUAGUUGGCAGUUUAGUGGCCAAUGUAAUGUGUUUAGUGCUUUCGAUGCUAUUCCUGUAUAUUUUCAUAAGGCUGAUGUUUUCAGGUUCUUAACCGAGUUUCUGUGGAUUGCCCUGACCUUGAAAGUCUGUGCAUUAAAGAUCUAGUGCUUACAACUGAAAGUGCGUUUUCUUGAACUCAAAUUUUGUAGUGCAGAACAUUUUGCAGGGAAUAUUGACUUUAAUAUUCACUUAUGCGAUUCAUUGUAUAAUCUUUUCGUCAACAGGUGUUGACAAAGUAGUAGGCUGGGCUGUUAGUCACCAUCUUAUGCAUUGUUCAGACGCUUUAGUUAAAGAUGACAAACUUGUUAUUUCUACUGAAAGGUUGUACAAUUUAUUAGGACAGUGUAGCUUAAAUAUACCGUCUAUUCUGUUUUCUUUUCAUAUUUUUUAUGGUUCUAUGCUACAGUCUUAGGGAUGGACUAAACAUUCUACAAGGCAUUCAAAACGAAAACAAGAGCAUAAAGAAAUCACUUAAGGUAAGUUGAUAUUGUGGGGAAGUACCACAAAUGCCUUGCUUCCGGCUUCCUGAAGAUGAAAUGUAAAAUAGAUUUUCUAUAAUCAGGAAAGUAAGUGUAUGUUGUAUUGGAUUUAACCCCAUGAUGAUUCAGGAUGUGGUUACUGGAAAUGAAUUUGAGAGAAAACUUCUUGCUGAUGUUAUUCCACCGAGCGAUAUUGGGAUUACUUUUGAUGACAUCGGGGCCUUGGAAAAUGUGAAGGACACCCUAAAGGAGUUGGUGAUGCUUCCUCUUCAGAGGCCUGAAUUAUUUAGCAAGGGACAGUUGACUAAGGUAGAAAUAUGGCACACUUUUCAUUUUUCCCCUUUGGAAAGUGAAACAGUUCUAUGUUGGUGCUUCUUUUCUUUCAUGUUUCCUAUCUGAUUAUCGUUACUUAUUCUACAGCCUUGUAAAGGAAUCUUGCUAUUUGGUCCUCCGGGUACUGGAAAGACUAUGCUUGCAAAGGCUGUUGCAACUGAAGCUGGUGCAAACUUUAUUAACAUAUCAAUGUCAAGUAUUACUUCAAAGGUAUUUUUGCAUAUUAUCGUGGUUGUUGGAACUUGGAUAAACAUUUUGUGACAACUAUUGAAUCGAAUAUGACCCCUUUAACUUUUGGUGCAGGGGUUUGGGGAUGGAGAGAAGUACGUUAAAGCGGUGUUCUCCUUAGCUAGUAAAAUUGCCCCUAGUGUUGUUUUUGUAGAUGAGGUUGGUUCAUUAAAUUCUAUCUAUUUGCGCUGUCCAGGGAACCUUUUUCUUUAGUUUUCUCAUUUGGAAGAUGUGAGUUAUACAAAGAGUUUUCUGGAACUGUUUUAUAAGCUGACAUGGUGGGCUAGUUUGCCUCGGUUAUUAAACUACAGCAGUGUAGGACACUAGUGGAUGGCACGGCCAUGCAAGAUACCAUGUCAGUUUAUGAGAGUGUUUAUUCCCGUCCAAUUUUAUUUUUUUUAUGGCUACCAUCAUAGGUUGACAGCAUGUUAGGCAGACGUGAAAAUCGUGGGGAACAUGAGGCUAUGCGUAAAAUGAAAAAUGAGUUCAUGGUUAACUGGGAUGGUCUGCUUUCAACGGAUAAAGAACGUGUAUUGGUACUUGCUGCUACUAAUAGGCCUUUUGACCUUGAUGAGGCUGUUAUUAGGAG
This 29532-nucleotide long non-coding RNA is filed under the name Malus domestica (apple). RNAcentral describes it as "long non-coding RNA (MDOM_LNC010986)". The record is from RNAcentral. Lineage: Eukaryota; Viridiplantae; Streptophyta; Magnoliopsida; Rosales; Rosaceae.